Molecule: long non-coding RNA, 1329 nt
Filed under: Sorghum bicolor (sorghum)
Lineage: Eukaryota; Viridiplantae; Streptophyta; Magnoliopsida; Poales; Poaceae
Description: long non-coding RNA (SBIC_LNC000096)
Rfam family: Plant small nucleolar RNA SNOR75 (bases 272-359)
Source: RNAcentral
AGGACCCGCCGCCAUCAUCUGGUCCGUCCCCAACUCGCCAGUUUACCCCAGCCGCCGCAAGCAGGGACAGAAGGAGCUCGUGCGUGCGCGCGCUCCGCCCCCGCCGACGCAAUGAGGGCCAAGGUUCGUCUUCACUCGCCCCCUCUGUUGUGAUGUUGUUUCGGUGGUGAUGAUGCGUUGAAAUCGUGUCCUAGGUAGUUUUGUAGAGCUUAGGGUUUGGAUGUGUGGUGUGGCAUUCCUUCUUGCUAGAGUUUUGGUGACGCUAUGAUGUUCUCUAUGAUGACCAAACACAGAUGACGAGUCCGAUCUAAUCCAUUCCAUUAAACCAUGGGGACAAUCGAGGCAUUUGUCUGAGAGAACACUAGCUACUUGAUAAUUUUUGUUUCUGUUGCUGUCUGGUACAAGUAUUAGAUUUUUUAGCGGCUGUUUCUGCAGUACUGGCAUAAUGAGGAAAAACUAGAUAUGUCUGAUCUAAUUGAUGAGAAAUACCUCCUACUCAUUCUGAAUGCCAGUUCACUGCAUGUUACAACUAUUCUUUUGAAUAGAUCCUACUGUUUAUUUGAUGGUUACACAAUGAGUUAGUUGUACAAGACAGCCUGAGAUUUUCCUAAAAAAAGACAGAUUCUUCGCUGAUUAUGUACUAUUUCUAGUUGAAUAAUUCUUGCAGAUUCAUUCGUUGUUCAAUAUGUAAUAGACCUAGUUCAUGCAAUGAUUAACACUAUUGCUGGGUGAUUCUACUUGCAAGUCAACUGUUUGGUCUUUACGUUGGGAUGUGAUGAAGAACUAUUGGUCCGUGUUUCUGAUCAUCAGUGAUGAGUAAAACACUCCAUAAUUCUGAUCCCUGACAAAUUGUAUACUCUAGUAGAAUAGUUCUUGCAGAUUCAUUCGUUGUUCAAUAUGUGUAGACCUAGUUCAUGCAAUGAUUAACACUAUUGCUGGGUGAUUGCUACUUGCAAGUUAACUGUUUGGUCUUUAUGUUGGGAUGUGAUGAAGAAUUAUUGGUCCGUGUUUCUGAUCAUCAGUGAUGAGCAAAACACUCCAUAAUUCUGAUCCCUGACAAAUUGCACAGUCCUUAGUUUGGUCUGGUCCAGUUUGAUGUUUUUUUUUUCAGAUGAGACUCUCUGUUAGAAUCUAAGCAUUUGCUAUUGAAUGCGGGUGAACUGAUUCAUCAUGUCCCAUUUGAUGUGCAGUGGAAGAAGAAGAGAAUGAGGAGGCUCAAGAGGAAGCGCCGAAAGAUGAGGCAGAGAUCUAAGUAGGCGCAUCUUGGGGCUGAGGGAGGGGAGCUUCACCUGCACCAUGGCUGCUUAGCUGUAGAUGUUGGUGAUGUAA